RNAcentral lists this non-coding RNA (40 nucleotides) under unclassified sequences. RNAcentral's name for it is "THF-II sequence". It matches the Rfam family "THF-II riboswitch (folE RNA)". The record is from RNAcentral.
CCGUUCAAACUCGUCUCCUCUGUGAAGGAGACUACGGGAG